This 253-nucleotide ribosomal RNA is filed under the name uncultured bacterium. RNAcentral's name for it is "partial 16S ribosomal RNA". It matches the Rfam family "Bacterial small subunit ribosomal RNA", at positions 524 to 776 of the family's 1533-position model. The record is from RNAcentral.
UACGAAGGGGGCGAGCGUUGUUCGGAAUUACUGGGCUUAAAGCGUGCGUAGGCGGAUAUACAAGUUGGGAGUGAAAUCCCAGGGCUUAACCCUGGAAUUGCUCUCAAAACUGUAAAUCUAGAAUCCGGUAGAGGUUAAUGGAAUGUCCAGUGUAGAGGUGAAAUUCGCAGAUAUUGGACGGAACACCAGUGGCGAGGGCGAUUAACUGGGCCGGUAUUGACGCUGAGGUACGAAAGCGUGGGUAGCAAACAGG